AUGGCAAUUUGGGCGUCCAGGCUGCUGAUUGGGUGCACACCUCUCGCGACAGCCAGGCAGGCCUUCGCGCUGUUUGCCACGCACCUGCCCCCGCCGACUUUGAACUCCGAGGCCGGCUGUCGCGAAAGCCUGAACCGGAUGUCACGACGGGGAGAACGGGAUCGCGAUGCCCAAGUUGGGGCCCUGAGGGCCGGGGACACAAGUUUACGGCUCUCGUGGAGUCGCGACACCCAGCCCUGCUAUCCGAUCCCUCGCCACUGCAGUCAGCUGUCUGGACGCCGUGGUGGAGGGGCUUGUCUCCGUGGCGCCGCUGCUGGUGUGUGUAAGAUUCCAGAGAUUGGGUGGAACUUUGAGGAUGAAGGUAGAAAACAAGUGGCCUUUGGUGAGGGGUAUCCCCACAUCACCCCAGGUGCCUUUGGCUCUCUUCUCCCCACCGGAAGACUGAUCCCUGGAGAUGUUUUUGAAAUACAGAUCACUUACGGACAAAGAGGGGGUGGGCAGAGGUCUCUGGGUCGGCUUCUGCCUACCCCCCAAGGCCCAGAGAUUCAUGUGUCCCUAGGGCAAGAUGUACUUUGCCAACCUACCAUGGCAAGACCUUUUUGCGGGCAAAUAAAGUCUCCAGGACCCACACCCCUCCACAAUCUAGUGACUGCUCAAAGGCUAAGGCAUCGAGGGGGCGGGGCGGGAGCAGGUGCUAGACUGGGGUAGACAGCGGUCGCUGCUGGACCCCGUGGAAGAGAAGGCGUGGCUAGAGCGGGAAGGGAGGGAGGUGUGGGAAAGUGUGGGAGGACACACCCAGACCUGGAAUUGACAGGUGGGCGUGGCUUCACGGGCUCACGCCUGGGAUUGGAGGGUUGAGGCGUGACCACAGGGUGUUGGGCGUGGCUAAGGAACGCAGGCGUCCGGGAGAGGGAAGGGCGCAAUCGCUUUCUAGCCCUGGGCUCGCAGGGCUGGGGAGAAGGAGUGGUUCCGGAAACCGGGUUCGCGCCGGGGUCUGAGAGUGGAUGCCGGGGGUAACCUUGUAACUAGCUCUGGGAACGAAGAUCCGUAAAGUAUCGAUGUAGCUCCUCCAAGCGCUCAGGAAUACACGGGGUGGCAAACCGAAUUCAGUGAAGCUGAUGGAAUGUCACCCAGCACACACUGCCGAAUGACACACUAGAUCGAAUAGGCUGCCCUUGAGGACCCCCCCCCUCCCCCGCCACAGGCUGGGUGGCACCUGAGAUGCACCAUCUCCUUGAAUCCUCCCUCACA
Molecule: long non-coding RNA, 1251 nt
Filed under: Zalophus californianus (California sea lion)
Lineage: Eukaryota; Metazoa; Chordata; Mammalia; Carnivora; Otariidae
Description: lncRNA (ENSZCAG00015022345.1)
Source: RNAcentral